AGAGUUUGAUCCUGGCUCAGGAUGAACGCUAGCUACAGGCUUAACACAUGCAAGUCGAGGGGAAACGACAUCGAAAGCUUGCUUUUGAUGGGCGUCGACCGGCGCACGGGUGAGUAACGCGUAUCCAACCUGCCCAUCACUUGGGGAUAACCUUGCGAAAGUAAGACUAAUACCCAAUGAUAUCUCUAGAAGGCAUCUGAAAGAGAUUAAAGAUUUAUCGGUGAUGGAUGGGGAUGCGUCUGAUUAGCUUGUUGGCGGGUAACGGCCACCAAAGCAACGAUCAGUAGGGGUUCUGAGAGGAACGGUCCCCANAUUGGAACUGAGACACGGUCCAAACUCCUACGGAGGCA
This 350-nucleotide ribosomal RNA is filed under the name uncultured bacterium. RNAcentral describes it as "bacterial SSU rRNA". It matches the Rfam family "Bacterial small subunit ribosomal RNA", at positions 8 to 350 of the family's 1533-position model. The record is from RNAcentral.